GGGGGGGGUAAGCGUUGUUCGGAAUUACUGGGCGUAAAGGGCUCGUAGGCGGCCAACUAAGUCAGACGUGAAAUCCCUCAGCUUAACUGGGGAACUGCGUCUGAUACUGGAUGGCUUGGAUUCGGGAGAGGGAUGCGGAAUUCCAGGUGUAGCGGUGAAAUGCGUAGAUAUCUGGAGGAACACCGGUGGCGAAGGCGGCAUCCUGGACCGAUAUUGACGCUGAGGAGCGAAAGCCAGGGGAGCAAACGGGAUUAGAUACCCCGGUAGUCCUGGCCCUAAACGAUGAAUGCUUGGUGUAGCGGGUAUCGAUCCCUGCUGUGCCGAAGCUAACGCAUUAAGCAUUCCGCCUGGGGAGUACGGUCGCAAGGCUG
This 371-nucleotide ribosomal RNA is filed under the name uncultured bacterium. Its description in RNAcentral is "bacterial SSU rRNA". It matches the Rfam family "Bacterial small subunit ribosomal RNA", at positions 527 to 896 of the family's 1533-position model. RNAcentral also lists the same sequence under 1 other name. The record is from RNAcentral.